AAUAACAAAAAUAUAUGUUCCUAUAUAUAGGCCUUGCUUUGAUAUUUGCAAGACUCUUAGAUGUGGGAUAGAAUAAUAUUUAAUCUGUCGGGGAAAAAGGCACAAGCUUGCCAGGCGGAUGUGGAAUUAGCUGGGAAAGAAAGUUUCGGAAUCCGGCUUACUCUCCAAAAACACCCAGAUUCCGGACCAAAAUUUUUUCUAGCGUAAGUGGAACUGCAGCAUCUGGAAAGACGUAUUAUUUGCUCUCCUAAAUGCCAGGCUCUUUCCCCAUACGUACUCGCACGGAGAAUAUGUUCCGUAUUUUAAAUUAUAGUAAAAAUAAGUGGUGUACAGCAAAAAAAACCCCAACAACUUGUGAACUCUCUGAAAAGCCAUCAAAAACCAGCAAACCCCUGAACUUCCCAAAUCCUUCUCUAACAUGUACCUACUUGUUUCUGUACAGGGCCAUGAGAUGCAGUGAGGUCUCGGUGUCAUCCACCAUUGACUGGCCCUGCGAUCAGCCGUUAUAUCGCUGCGUUGCAGAGACUUUACCCCCAUGUGCUGUUGUUAAAGGGACACAAACCAGGAAAGAGAAGUGAGGUUAUUUUAAGACUGAACAUAACCAAAGGGCUUGGAAAUCAUUCCCUCUAAGCAAGGAAGACCAGAGUCCUCCGCCGGCGCGAAUUCACCAGGGAGCAGCACCCCUCUCUCCUGCUGGCACCGCGUGCCGCGGUCACACUGUCCGUGCCUCCGCAUCCUGCGCUCCCUCGCUGUCUUAUCUCGGGGAUCUCAAAGCUUUGCAGUCCCCGUCCACCUUCCGGAGGUUAGUCUCAGCUUUGUUUUUCCAGCUGGAGCAGCUGAGACAGUUGCAGGCGAGACACCGUAAGAACGCGCAACAAGAUGAUGGCAGCAGGACUCAAAAGAAUUCAAAAAGAGAAAUAAAAAAUCCCGAUGUCUGCAUCGUUUUUAGCCCCUUCUUCUUUGCUUGUAACUGCAUUAAACCUGCUGGCAUAUAUACUUAAGUACUCCUCAUAGAGAGAUCUCAAAGCACUUUAGAAAAGAAGCUGAUAUGGAUUUGUCCCCAUUUUAAAAUCGGACUCAAGGCGUAAGCAGGCACAGUGUUCUCCGAGAGUCUCCUGCAGGCCGCUGGCAAAGGCAGGGCCAGUAUCUAGGUCUCCUGAGCCCCAGAGUACUGGUCUGUCCCUGAAACCUGGAUUUCUUCAGGGGAACGAGGAGGCUUUUUUGUGUUGCACAGCUGUGACUACGAGUCCGCUUCCUCAGCAAUGAGUAUGACCAGCCCUCAAGGGCCAGCACUUGCUUUGCUCCACAGCAUAAGACUUUUCCUUGGGCAACGGCUUGUGGCACGGGGAGGAAGAACAGUAGUAGCAUGGGAUAGGAGCGCCUGGGGACGUCAAGGAUGAGUUAGACUACUUUUCCCCACCUUCCACUUGCAGCUGGAUAGGGGAGAGAACCUGCCCGGGGCUUCGGCCCACAGGAGGAAGCAGCGGUGGUGAUGCGGCCCUCUGGAAGCCGCCCCGCCUCUGCGUGUCCUGGGCUUGAGACGGUGACGGAGCAGCUGAAGCCUGGAAGGUGGUGGUGUGCUCGCAGGUGACGUACAGCUCUUGCGGCGGGUUCAUAAAUGCAGUUCUUGGAACUGAACUGAAGGCUUAGCUGCAGGACCGACUCUGCGUACGCUGCAUGGUGCGGACUCUGUCACACUGAUAACGUCAACUAUUCCCAAGGAUUCCUAACUCAAGAGUUUUCCCCCGCUGCAGUCAGCUAAGCUUCCCCUCUUCCCCCCGCUCAGAGAUGGCCACAUUUGAGCAGAUCCCGUUUCUGGAGUGUGUCCCUUUCCCAGGAAACCAAAAUAUAUUCAGAGCAAAGAAUGAUUAACGGAAGCGUAUGGACUGCCAGGGCGGAGCCUAGAGCCGAGUUUGCCUCUCCCAGGGCAGCAGCGCUCUUCCCUGCGCCCGCAGGAGCGGACUGGGCUGGGUCGCCAGGUAAUUGUCCCUUCUCCCUGUGGCCUUUCUAUUUCGUCCCACAAUGCAGCCUGAUUGUGUUACUAAUUGCUCUCUCCUGGUGAGCAAGUUACAGCCCUGCAAGUCACAGAGUCUGCCUUCACCCGGCUUUAAUUAUUCAGCUACACCUUCCUUCUGCCUUUUUUUUUUCC
Non-coding RNA from Phalacrocorax carbo (great cormorant), 2149 nucleotides. Lineage: Eukaryota; Metazoa; Chordata; Aves; Suliformes; Phalacrocoracidae. The record is from RefSeq and is a predicted model, not a curated record.